Molecule: long non-coding RNA, 672 nt
Filed under: Coturnix japonica (Japanese quail)
Lineage: Eukaryota; Metazoa; Chordata; Aves; Galliformes; Phasianidae
Description: lncRNA (ENSCJPG00005009463.1)
Source: RNAcentral
ACUUAAGAUAUCUGACAAACUUUCAAAAUUACUUGUAAAAAGAAUGCGACACAAACUGUAAAUUGAGGUAGUAAAGGCAAUCCCAUCUUUUUUUAUUUGACCUCUGCUAUUAAACUGGUGGCAAACAUUGUUAACAGUAAAGCACGUAGAUUCCCUGAGGGUCACCUCUGAGUCAUUUUCUGGUUCUAUUAUGCAAAUAAUACAUUCUGCUCAUUGUGGUUUCUAUUUGUGAUGUAUGCAAGCUGAAGAACAUCAGGGCUGAGUCAUCUGCUUAAGAGGGUCCCACUAUAAAUGUGAUGGAUUGUAACAUUUUGCAGAGUACAAAAGAGUAAAUAAAUAGAGAAGCCUUCGUUUGAUUUCUGAACUGAGGCCUCUUGAUUUAUAUCGUGAUGGUGGAGAUCCUACUGCAAAAGGAGAUCACACAGAGCUUUCUGCUUCAGCUGUGAUUAAAGGAAUGCAGGAAAGAAAAAAAUAAGUGAGCAUACUUUGUGUGCAGUGCAGCUGUGCCCAGUGCUGUUGGGGAAAUGAUUCUUCACUCUGCACUAUAGAGGCCAUACAUCAGCUAGGCAGCGCAUUGCACCCAGCUGACUGAGAGUGUCAGCUUCACACCACACUAGCCAGCGGCAGCCCACGACCUUCGAUUCUUUGCUAAUACUACUUGACAUCUUCCAG